UCGUAUACCUCCUUUGACCAAGGAGCUGGCGCAAUGCGCCCGUCUUACAACCGGGAACAAACCGAGAUUCCUUCAAACAAUCUACUUGAUGCUGCGGCGGGACCGCCCAUUUAAUUAUUAUCAUCAUCCGUGCGCUGAAGGUUUGGCAGCGAUCCAGGGGACGGUGGGGACCGGUCAGGCCAAGCCCGCAGCCUGACUUUAAACUCAAUGCCGAAUUGGCCCCCCUAAAACAUUUCCUGUUCAUGGGCACACACGGCAAUUCAGAAGCGGCGGAUAGUUAAACCGAAAUGACGCAGGGGAAAAUAGCACACUUCUGUCUGAAUAUAUCUCAGCCAGGGGGUGAUUCCGAAGAAACUCCCAGGUGAUUUCCAAAAUUGAAACUACAAGUAUUCCUAAUGGGGAAUAGGGCCUGGUCACCUUGAGUCUGUUCUGAAUUCAAGGUUCGCAGUAUGCGGGUGCAUCCUGAUCUAUUUAUACACAACGCCC
This 486-nucleotide small RNA is filed under the name Histoplasma capsulatum. RNAcentral's name for it is "hypothetical RNA". The record is from RNAcentral. Lineage: Eukaryota; Fungi; Ascomycota; Eurotiomycetes; Onygenales; Ajellomycetaceae. RNAcentral also lists the same sequence under 1 other name.